Molecule: ribosomal RNA, 407 nt
Filed under: uncultured bacterium
Lineage: Bacteria
Description: partial 16S ribosomal RNA
Rfam family: Bacterial small subunit ribosomal RNA
Source: RNAcentral
GACGAACGCUGGCGGCGUGCCUAAUACAUGCAAGUCGGACGCCGUUGCGAACGGGUGAGUAACGCGUAGGUAACUACCUAUUAGAGGUGGAUAACUAUUGGAAACGAUAGCUGCUACCGCCUACUAGUUGAUGUACCUGCGUUGUAUUAGCGAGUAGGUAGGGUGAUGGCCUACCUAGGCAACGAUACAUAGCCGACCUGGGACGGGUAUCCGCACAAACGGGACUUAGAAAAGGCCCAGAAUCCUACGGGAGGCAAGAGUAGGGAAGCUUCGGAAAUGGGGGGAACCCGGGCCGAGCACAGCCGGGGGAGUGAAGAAGGGUUUCGGAUAGUAAAGCUAUGUUGUGAAGGGAGCGGUACUUAACGAGAAAGGGACGGCUAACUACGUGCCAGCAGCCGCGGUAAUUC